AACGAACGCUGGCGGCAUGCCUAACACAUGCAAGUCGAACGAGACCUUCGGGUCUAGUGGCGCACGGGUGCGUAACGCGUGGGAACCUGCCCUUAGGUUCGGAAUAACUCCCCGAAAGGGGUGCUAAUACCGGAUAAUGUCUUCGGACCAAAGAUUUAUCGCCUUUGGAUGGGCCCGCGUUGGAUUAGCUAGUUGGUAGGGUAAAAGCCUACCAAGGCGACGAUCCAUAGCUGGUCUGAGAGGAUGAUCAGCCACACUGGGACUGAGACACGGCCCAGACUCCUACGGGAGGCAGCAGUGGGGGAUAUUGGACAAUGGGCGAAAGCCUGAUCCAGCAAUGACGCGUGAGUGAUGAAGGCCUUAGGGUUGUAAAGCUCUUUUACCCGGGAUGAUAAUGACAGUACCGGGAGAAUAAGCUCCGGCUAACUCCGUG
Molecule: ribosomal RNA, 433 nt
Filed under: uncultured bacterium
Lineage: Bacteria
Description: partial 16S ribosomal RNA
Rfam family: Bacterial small subunit ribosomal RNA
Source: RNAcentral